AGAGUUUGAUCCUGGCUCAGAACGAACGCUGGCGGCGUGCGUAACACAUGCAAGUCGCGCGAGAAAGUCUCCGCAAGGGGGCGAGUAAAGCGGCGCACGGGUGCGUAACACGUGGGUAACCUGCCUAGGAGACCGGAAUAACCUUCCGAAAGGAGGGCUAAUACUGGAUAAGACCACGGGGGCUUCGGCCUCUGCGGUAAAAAGAUGGCCUCUGCAUGCAAGCUAUCACUUCUAGAGGGGCCCGCGGCCCAUCAGCUAGUUGGCGGGGUAACGGCCCACCAAGGCAACGACGGGUAGCUGGUCUGAGAGGACGAUCAGCCACACUGGAACUGAGACACGGUCCAGACUCCUACGGGAGGCAGCAGUGGGGAAUUCUGCGCAAUGGGCGAAAGCCUGACGCAGCAACGCCGCGUGAGUGAUGAAGGUCUUCGGAUCGUAAAGCUCUUUCGGCCGGGACGAAAACGGCUUGGCUAAUAUCCAAGUCCUUGACGGUACCGGAAGAAGAAGCACCGGCUAACUCUGUGCCAGCAGCCGCGGUAAUACAGAGGGUGCGAGCGUUGUUCGGAAUCAUUGGGCGUAAAGCGCGUGUAGGCGGUAACGCAUGUCGGGUGUGAAAGCCCUCGGCUUAACCGGGGAAGUGCGCCCGAAACUGCGUUGCUCGAGUGCCGGAGAGGGUGGCGGAAUUCCCGGUGUAGAGGUGAAAUUCGUAGAUAUCGGGAGGAACACCAGUGGCGAAGGCGGCCACCUGGACGGACACUGACGCUGAGACGCGAAAGCGUGGGUAGCAAACAGGAUUAGAUACCCUGGUAGUCCACGCCGUAAACGAUGGAAACUAGGUGUGGCGGGUGUUGACCCCUGCCGUGCCGAAGCUAACGCAUUAAGUUUCCCGCCUGGGAAGUACGGCCGCAAGGUUAAAACUCAAAGGAAUUGACGG
This 934-nucleotide ribosomal RNA is filed under the name uncultured bacterium. Its description in RNAcentral is "bacterial SSU rRNA". It matches the Rfam family "Bacterial small subunit ribosomal RNA", at positions 8 to 916 of the family's 1533-position model. The record is from RNAcentral.